RNAcentral lists this ribosomal RNA (252 nucleotides) under uncultured bacterium. RNAcentral's name for it is "partial 16S ribosomal RNA". It matches the Rfam family "Bacterial small subunit ribosomal RNA", at positions 524 to 776 of the family's 1533-position model. The record is from RNAcentral.
UACGUAGGGGGCAAGCGUUGUCCGGAAUCAUUGGGCGUAAAGCGCGUGUAGGCGGCCCGGUAAGUCCGCUGUGAAAGUCGGGGGCUCAACCCUCGAAUGCCGGUGGAUACUGUCGGGCUAGAGUGCGGGAGAGGCGAGUGGAAUCCUGGUGUAGCGGUGAAAUGCGCAGAUAUCAGGAGGAACACCAAUUGCGAAGGCAGCUCGCUGGAACGUAACUGACGCUGAGACGCGAAAGCGUGGGGAGCAAACAGG